Molecule: transfer RNA, 73 nt
Filed under: Dipodomys ordii (Ord's kangaroo rat)
Lineage: Eukaryota; Metazoa; Chordata; Mammalia; Rodentia; Heteromyidae
Rfam family: tRNA
About the family: Transfer RNA (tRNA) molecules are approximately 80 nucleotides in length. Their secondary structure includes four short double-helical elements and three loops (D, anti-codon, and T loops). Further hydrogen bonds mediate the characteristic L-shaped molecular structure. tRNAs have two regions of fundamental functional importance: the anti-codon, which is responsible for specific mRNA codon recognition, and the 3' end, to which the tRNAs corresponding amino acid is attached (by aminoacyl-tRNA synthetases). tRNAs cope with the degeneracy of the genetic code in two manners: having more than one tRNA (with a specific anti-codon) for a particular amino acid; and 'wobble' base-pairing, i.e. permitting non-standard base-pairing at the 3rd anti-codon position.
Source: Rfam by way of RNAcentral
GAGAGUGUGACUCAAGUGGUAGAGUGCUUGGCUAGUAAGCAAAAGAUCUUGAGUUCAAAUCCCAGCACUGCCA